UACAGAGGGGGCGAGCGUUGUUCGGAAUUACUGGGCGUAAAGGGCGCGUAGGCGGCCCGCUAAGUCGAACGUGAAAUCCCCAGGCUCAACCUGGGAACUGCGUCCGAUACUGGCAGGCUUGAAUCCGGGAGAGGGAUGUGGAAUUCCAGGUGUAGCGGUGAAAUGCGUAGAUAUCUGGAGGAACACCGAUGGCGAAGGCAGCUCGCUGGGACGGUACUGACGCUGAGGCGCGAAAGCGUGGGGAGCGAACAGG
Molecule: ribosomal RNA, 253 nt
Filed under: uncultured bacterium
Lineage: Bacteria
Description: partial 16S ribosomal RNA
Rfam family: Bacterial small subunit ribosomal RNA
Source: RNAcentral